Long non-coding RNA from Gallus gallus (chicken), 6622 nucleotides. RefSeq lists it as uncharacterized. The record is from RefSeq and is a predicted model, not a curated record. NCBI's taxonomy places the organism in Eukaryota, Metazoa, Chordata, Aves, Galliformes, Phasianidae. The transcript has 4 exons.
GGGGCAAUGUCAAGGUGACCCUGGCCAGAGGGAGCUCAGCUAUCAGCUGGAGCAGCCCAAGAGGGUCCAGGGUUAAACCCACUUAAUGAUUUCUAGGAAGACUUCAAUGACAGGGGGUUGCAGCAGGCUAGAAAGGGCACUGAGAUGCUGCUUCAGCUGUUCAACGAGGGAGGUUUUGCUCCUCCUCAUCAGUCUGCAUUUGUUUCUUGUUUCUGCAGUGUUUGUCAGAGAACUGGGAUCCUGGUCAAGGAAGGCUGUUGUCAGACAGCUGUUUGAUGCAAAGCAGACUGAUAUAUGACGUGGUCCCUGUGGGAAGCUGGGGGAGAUGCACACAGGAGCCAGCCCACCCUCACCUGCCUCCCUUCCCUGUGUCACACUGUGACAUAUUCGCCAUCCUCACGGAGCCUUCUGCCUUCCUUCGGUGCUGAUGGGCCAUCUCCCACCUCUGAGGAGUCUUUGAGGAAGGCAACUUACGUUGCAUCAACAAACAGGCCCUGCCUAAUUUCCCCAUGGGUGUGUAGAAACUAGACGCAACUUCUGGCCACUGGAUGCUGAGAUGAGAAUUUGUCGUGCUAACCAAAUUAACUCCUUGUUGCCUUGUCCCUCUCCAUUUGUUUGCUGUAGACUGCAACAAGCAAAGCUGUGGUGUCCCGGGCUACUCCUUGUUUCAUCCCCACCUUUCACUUCUGCCCCAGUCUUCCAUACAUGCAAGUGGUGAGCGUAUUCCUAUUAACUAAUAACAAAUAAUAUUUGCUUCUCUUAGAUGAGGUACAGAGCAGAAAUCUUGAAUUUUAAAAUGGAACUAUAAACUAUAUUUAAAAUUAAAAAUAUAGUUAUAUAUUUGAUUUAUACAAAUUAUGAAGAAAAAGGGAGAAAGAAUUAAAGACUGACAAUCAGGAAACUUCCUAAAAUCUUGCAGAGAUACUCCAGGCAUCACUUAAAGGACAGAUAAAGACGUGAAUGUAAAUAACACCAGUCUCUGAAGAUUAGGAUUUCUGCCAGGCCCUGUAAUGCCUUAGACCUGUGAUAAGAGCAGUCCUAUCCUCAAGUGGCACAUGGGCCAAUCUAUACCACUAGAAUCAGCAAAAGAUUAGAGAGGAGAACAAAGAGAAGGACAAAGGUAGAAAAAGCAUUAUCCUAUAUAUAUAUAUAUAUUUUUUUUUUCUUUAAGUGCCCAUUUCUCUGAUUGGAAGCCUAAAGCAUGGAGACACACCAGUUCUGCUUGAACUGGUAUCCUGCUACACUUUGGAGUGAGAGAUCUGGUAGAUGUAGCUUCUCUCCCUGAGAAUGACUGCUGUAAAACAGCACUGUCAUCCGUCUGACGCUUCACAGGAAGAUAAUGUGCCAGCUGGAUGUUUAUUGCCCAGUAAACCCCAUGCUGUUCCCUUCAGUUGCUGCUAUAAUGCAAGAGUGAUUGCCGGCACUCAAUGCAUAUGCAGCUCCCUCCUACAGGGACAGGCAGCAGUGUGGGUUUCAGAUGUUUCUUGGCGCCUGCGAUGUGGGGGAAGCCCACCCUUCCUCUCUCAGAUCAGAGGGAGGACAGAUGUUCGUUCACAGUGCUGAUGUGUCCGUCAUCAUUAGGUGUCUUUUUAGAGAAAACUGUGCCAUAACCAUUGCUUUCUUCAUAGUACUUAUCCUCGUGAGUUUCUUGUUCGUUCGAUUGUGUGUUUGCAUGUGCAGUUCUUUUUUAAAGGUACCUUGGCCUCACGCGUGAUAAUAGAUGAUGAUUUUCAUAUCCCUGACUUCCCUCCAGGUUCUGCUAUAUCCCUGUCUUUGGAAACGCAGCUCCCCUCUCUCUUCUCAGAAGUCACAUCCUCCCACAUCCACCCACAUCCACACUCCUGCACACCAGCCCCCUUCCUGCUGCCCUAACUCGCCUUCCUGUGCAGCACCAUCACUGACCCCAGCCUCAGCUGAAGGCUCGUGCAGACUGGCUCUGCUGUUAACUCCGGCCCUAACCUUACUCUCUCAGCUCUGUCCCUCCUCUAUCGGGAUCCCUUUCCCCUGCAGCUCUUUCAAGUCGUGACAACCUUCCCAAAGAAGCUAGAAGAACUUCUGGAAGACAACAGAAGUGGAAUAAGCAAAGUUUCCUCCCUCCGCCCCUUGCUGUUAGCUUCACUGCGCCUUUGGAAGGACUUUGCACUAGAGGAGAUGCUAUUUUUGUCCUGCUUAUGCAGCUAUGCUUGAUGCGAUGAAUAAAGCUGCAGGAGAACAGUCCUCUUGGAGAGGACCCUGAGUGCACUCGGCUAUAUCAUAUUUCCAGGUUGGUGCUUGGGCCUCAACAGUGCUGUCACCACUGGAGACCUCAGGGACAAAUGCAGCCACAGCAGUUUGCCUUUCUUGUCCCUCACCACCUGUGCAUAAGACAUGAAACACAGCGAUCUGAAGAAACUAACAUCGGGGUUUCAUUUGACAUUGCUGAAAAGAUUUGAGGGAAGGAUGUUGGGAGUAAAAUGUUUGUAAAAAUUAGAAAUCAGCAUCCCUUUAAAUAGACCGAGUCUGUUCCUUUCUAAUUGCCAUAUAAUCUUAUACUUCUGACACGGGAGCACAAGUAACUAAUCACUUCUGUAGCCUGGCUGUGAGCUGGGGAUUUAGUGUCUUCCUUCAAAGAGGAUUGCAGGUAACUGACUAACAGUAAGGUAGGACUGCCUGAGAUGACACUAUCCACGCGAGCUGCUCUCCUGGCAACCACAAUCCAAGAAGCAGAAAAUACCGAGAGAAAAGAAUGAGCUGGAAGGAGGAGCUGUUGUUUGAACAUGCGGAUGUUGGACUCUCCCAGAAGACAUCUGCAAAGAUGAAACAAUUGGAGGAAAUUUGUUUUGUGAUAUCCUUUCCCCCUGCAAUGUUUGACCAUCCUGAGGAGAGAAAGGAGGUUUUGAGCGUAUCUGUUUGCAACAUUCUGGUGCUUGAAAGGAUCUUAUAAGCAGGAGGGGGAGCAACUUUUUACGUGCUCUGAUAGUGAUGGGAUGAGAGGGAAGGACUUUGAACUAAAAUAUGUGAAAUAUAAGUUAGAUGAUAGGAGGAAAUUCUUUCCUCAGAGGGCGGUGAGGCGCUGGCACAGCUGCCCAGAGAAGCUGUGGUGCCCCAUCCCUGGAGGCGCUCAAGGCCAGGUUGGAUGGGGCCCUGGGCAGCCUGAGCUGGUGGGGGGCAGCCCUGCCCACGGCAGGAGUUGGGGCUGGGUCGGCUUUGAGCUCCCCUCCAGCCCAAACCGUUCUGUGAUUCUAUGAAAGAUGUCCCUCCCCAGUUUUUUUAUCAGCAAGGAAUCCUCCUACCUCGGCAUCUGAUUUUCCUCAUCAAGUCACAGUGCUCUGCUUGCAAAUUGCAAUUAAUCACUAUGGAGACUGUUGCAAAGUCACCAGUUUGGGAUUGGUCUUUCAGCUGAGCACUAAGCAACAGGUGCUGGGUGGCUUUGAGGAAAGCUCUUUAUUCACACUGAGGUGCAUUGUCUGAAGAUGAGGAAAGAUUUUCCUUGCAGCUAAAAAUAAUCAGAGAAUCAGAGGAUAAUGAAGGUUGGAAAAGACCUCUGGGAUCACCCAGUUCAACCAUCAGCCUACCCCCCCAUGCCCACUGCCCACGUCCCUCAGUGCCACAUCCACACGGCUCUUCAACACCUCCAGGGAUGGUGACUCCACCACCCCCCUGGGUAGCCUGUGCCACUGCCUCACUGCUCUUAAAUAAUGGCAUGAGCUGGGGGGGAUUUCCUGAAGUGGAAGAAACCUCGUGACAUGGAUACAACCCUGUGGCUCAUGGAGAGAGCGGGAGUCAGUGCUGGUUUGGAAGGUCUGCAUUCACAUCCGUCAACAGUAAGAGCUCUACAUGCUCCAGCUGCAGCCAUAGGCCAUCUCCAGCCUGGCUCUUCAGACUGUGAGGCCUGAGCAAGAGCAUCUCGCAUCACUCUCCCCACUGCUCUCGGCACAACAGUGAGGGAGUCAGGAUGCUGCUCUGCACGGACCUGUUCUGAAGCUGAGACCAGCACGUACCUGAGAGCUAUGGUUCCUUUCCUUGUGCCCGCACGCACACAGACUGGGGCUGCAGUCAGCUGGAGGGGUUUUAAAGCAUCUUUCUGGAGAGCAGACCUAAAUAUGUCAUCCAUUCCAUUUGGAAAUGAGGGCAGCAGCUCUGAGAAAAAGCAGACAGUGGGCAUCCGUGGGACUUGCCAGAUUAGAGACAAACUGCAUGAAAGCACUGUCAGCUCCUUGCUGAAUUUACACAGAUGCCCCUGCCCUGUCCCUGCCCCCUCUGCCAGCCAUCGCGUGACAUCGCAGCCAGUGGGGAAGGGCAGUGACAGCCACAGGUAAAGACUGCAUGGUGUUGUGCACCACUUUGGUGGCCUCCAGGAGCUGAAUCUAUGCUCUGACAGGCACUGUGCACAGCAGUGGUGGCGAAUAAGUGUGUCCAGAGGCACCUGGGGACAGCAAGGCAAGCAUUUUUAACCAGGUGCUGCUGAUGCAAAUCCAUCAGCACAGCCCCAGGUGGAACGCCCAUUGCAGUCAAAGGCUCAGUUCCUCACCCAGCAUCCAAGAAAGGACAAGAUGGGGGAGGGGGGGAGGGAAGUCACAUCCAGAAGCAUCCAUGGGUGAAAUAUUGAAAUGAAAUGCUGUGAAAGGGGCCCUUGGGGCUUGGGAAUAUAUCAUCUUUGUAAUGCACGAGACAAGCAGCCCUGCUCUGGGACUCUGCUUUGCCCCAGUUCCAUUACUGUGGAUGUACAGUAAGGACAGCAGAUGUAGACCCCAAAUAAUCCUCCCAUUUCAGCAAGGAGUGCUGGUUCAGAAGAGAAAUGCGUAACGCAUCUGCUAGAACAGGUAAGGCAUGGUUCUGAAAGCAUCAAUUCCACCUGUUUUCCAAGAGUAGAACUUGUUUCAGUUCUGGGGAAAGGGUCAGACACAUCCUCAUCUAAAUCCAUGCCUUAAGAUUUGGGCUGUGUGUCACUGGAGUUAAAAUAUCCCCAGAAAACCACGGGGCCCUGUUACGUAUCCCCAUUUUUAUCUGGGUUGUACUAAAAAUGUAUAUUAAAUUGUAAUCAUUUAGCAAUGUUUCCGCACACACAAAAUUCUCUUGGCUACAUAUAUAGCAUCAUCCAGUACACAUUGUUUUGGCAGCUUUAUGUUCUUCAGCACUCUCACUGCCUGUGCACCUGUUUUUUUUUCACAUGGGGUUUGCCCCACUGCUGCCAACUGUGAUUCCUUACACCUUUGCACACGUUUACUGUGUCCUCAUUCUCCCACACACAAGAAAAAGAGAUUGUGCUGCCUCCGUGAGCCUGCACAUGAAAGUCUGAGCAAGAUCUGCUGUGAGGGCUGAGGCAGAGCAUUGCUGAAGCAAGCAUGUGUUUGCUCCUUGGAAAGUGACAGUCAAUAAAUGUAAGAAGAACCAUCGUGGAGGAAGUGGCAGCAUGGAAGAUGUUUCUGGUGGUACGGAUGUAGGAUGAGUUGUCACGGAGGGUAACCUCUUGUUUCCCAUGCAGAAGCUUGUGCAGGGCAGGUGAUGGACACGUUGCAGGCCCCAAACUGCAGAGCUGGCCUCAGAGUAUGUCAGGUGCUUCCUGGAAUAACACUUAGGUCCAUGUGAGGUGGAAAAGGUUUUUUCAUCCCAGAUCACAAAUCUGUCUGUCCAUCCAACUGUUAGUCUCUCCCAAAUGAGAUCUGAACCCUCCUGCUGCUUUCGACAAAAGAAGGUCUCCAAAAUCCCAAAUUCCCACAGGUCUCUCAUCAGGUAGAGAAGGAAACACAAAGCAACUCAGUGAGGCACACAGGAAAUGCACGUGCAAGAUCAUGGUCUUGGCAAAUUGGGAAGAAAUUGCCCUGGAGCAGGUAGAGGUGGUGGGGGGGGGGGGGCAAGGAGGGGCAGAAUUGUGUUGUCUAAGAACCAACCCCGUGAUGUUUCGGUCUGUAAAGGAUUGAAGCUGUUUAGAAAUAAAGCUUCUGGUGGCUUUCCUUGUCUUUGUUUUAGAUUGUGUAUUAUCUGUUGUACCAAGGGACAUGGUUCAGUGGUGAAGUGUCGGUGGCAGGUGGACAGUUGGACUGGGUGAUCUUGGAAGUCUUUUCCAACCUUGAUGAUUCUAUGAUUCUACAAUUUUAUCUUUACAGGUAGCAGGAAAUACAGUGAAUUUGGGGAUUUUUACAUUUGUUAGGAAUGCAGUUCCUACAAAUGUGAAUUAAGAAGUUUCUUCAAGAUGACAAAAAUGCAAUAGUCCUUUUUGUAGAGUAUUAAUCAACAUUUUGAAACGGGGUCAGCACCUUGCCUUUAACCAGUAGACCUCUUGUUUCUCCUCUCUCAGGUAUUUCACUGCCCAGCAUCAGCAGCCUCACCACAAGGAGGUUCAGAUGAACUCCGAGUUCUAUUUUAGGCUCAGCCUCAACACCCUUUCUUUCUAGCAGCAGCUAAUUACUCGUAACUAAAUAAUAGAAGGCAUCACAUUACGAGCUUCAUCUGAUGCUAAAUAUUUAAAAGACUCAAACUGAUGUAAGCCAGCUUCCCCCCGCACACAUCUGGAAGCCAUCUUCAUGAAAGACAAGUACGUGUAAUACACAUAGGUCCCAGGAAACACAUGCCGAUGCCUGUGUCUUAGGAAUGAGUGCUCAAGAAGCUCAUUUGAUAGAAACCUGCUGCAAAUGUGGUGAGG